GGAUGUUGUAGGAAUAUAUAUGUAGAGAGAGCUUCCUUGAGUCCAUUCACAGGUCGUGAUAUGAUCCAAUUAGCUUCCGACUCAUUCAUCCAAAUACCGAGUCGCCAAAAUUCGAACUAGACUCGUUAAAUGAAUGAAUGAUGCGGUAGACAAAUUGGAUCAUUGAUUCUCUUUGAUUGGACUGAAGGGAGCUCCCUCUCUCUUCUGUAUUCCAAUUGUCU
This 221-nucleotide microRNA precursor is filed under the name Arabidopsis lyrata. RNAcentral describes it as "miR319a stem-loop (aly-MIR319a)". Its record names the gene aly-MIR319a. The stretch from base 17 to 208 matches the Rfam family "MIR159 microRNA precursor family". The record is from miRBase by way of RNAcentral. Lineage: Eukaryota; Viridiplantae; Streptophyta; Magnoliopsida; Brassicales; Brassicaceae.